RNAcentral lists this ribosomal RNA (254 nucleotides) under uncultured Eubacteriales bacterium. Its description in RNAcentral is "uncultured Clostridiales bacterium partial 16S ribosomal RNA". It matches the Rfam family "Bacterial small subunit ribosomal RNA", at positions 524 to 776 of the family's 1533-position model. Lineage: Bacteria; Bacillati; Bacillota; Clostridia; Eubacteriales. The record is from RNAcentral.
UACGUAGGGGGCAAGCGUUGUUCGGAAUGACUGGGCGUAAAGGGUGCGUAGGCGGUAGUACAAGUUAGAAGUGAAAUACCCAGGGCUUAACUCGGGUGCUGCUUCUAAAACUGUACGACUUGAGUGCAGUAGAGGUUAGUGGAAUUCCUAGUGUAGCGGUGGAAUGCGCAGAUAUCGGGAAGAACACCGAUGGCGAAGGCAGAUCUCUGGGCCGCCACUGACGCUGAGGCGCGAAAGCUAGGGGAGCGAACAGG